Mobula hypostoma (lesser devil ray) is the source of this 163-nucleotide small nuclear RNA. RefSeq annotates it as U1 spliceosomal RNA. The transcript has a single exon. The record is from RefSeq and is a predicted model, not a curated record. NCBI's taxonomy places the organism in Eukaryota, Metazoa, Chordata, Chondrichthyes, Myliobatiformes, Myliobatidae.
AAUCUUAUCUGGCAAAGGAGAGACAGUGAUCAGAAAGGCGGUUCUCCCAGGAUGAGGCUAUCCCAUUGCACUUCGGUGUGCUGACGCCUGUGAUGUCUCCAAAUACUUGAUACUUGACUGCAAAAGUUGUGGUAGUGGGGGACAGCGUUCACGUUCAUUUUAU